Coccinella septempunctata (seven-spotted ladybird) is the source of this 140-nucleotide small nuclear RNA. RefSeq annotates it as U4 spliceosomal RNA. The transcript has a single exon. The record is from RefSeq and is a predicted model, not a curated record. NCBI's taxonomy places the organism in Eukaryota, Metazoa, Arthropoda, Insecta, Coleoptera, Coccinellidae.
AGCUUUGCGCAGAGGCAAUAUCGUAACCGAUGAGGUUCUGCCGAGGUGCGAUUAUUGCUAGUUGAAAACUUAAACCAAUACCCCGCCAUGGGCACGUGAAAUACCGUGCACUACGGCAAUUUUUGGGGGCCUCUCAAAGG